RNAcentral lists this ribosomal RNA (497 nucleotides) under uncultured bacterium. RNAcentral's name for it is "partial 16S ribosomal RNA". It matches the Rfam family "Bacterial small subunit ribosomal RNA", at positions 28 to 507 of the family's 1533-position model. The record is from RNAcentral.
GAUGAACGCUGGCGGCGUGCCUAAUACAUGCAAGUCGAGCGAACAGACGAGGAGCUUGCUCCUCUGACGUUAGCGGCGGACGGGUGAGUAACACGUGGAUAACCUACCUAUAAGACUGGGAUAACUUCGGGAAACCGGAGCUAAUACCGGAUAAUAUAUUGAACCGCAUGGUUCAAUAGUGAAAGACGGUUUUGCUGUCACUUAUAGAUGGAUCCGCGCCGCAUUAGCUAGUUGGUAAGGUAACGGCUUACCAAGGCAACGAGGCGUAGCCGACCUGAGAGGGUGAUCGGCCACACUGGAACUGAGCCACGGUCCAGACUCCUACGGGAGGCAGCAGUAGGGAAUUUUCCGCAAUGGGAGAAAGCCUGACGGAGUAACGCCGCGUGGGGGAUGAAGGUCUUCGGAUCGUAAAACUCUGUUAUUAGGGAAGAACAAAUGUGUAAGUAACUAUGCACGUCUUGACGGUACCUAAUCAGAAAGCCACGGCUAACUACGUG